AAAGCCAGCUAGGGGAGUUCUUGAGAACUGAGACAGGCGCGGCCUGAACCCUUUGAACCUGAUCCGGUUGACACCGGCGUAGGGAAGCGGCGCGAACUCCGA
Molecule: non-coding RNA, 102 nt
Filed under: Citrifermentans bemidjiense
Lineage: Bacteria; Pseudomonadati; Thermodesulfobacteriota; Desulfuromonadia; Geobacterales; Geobacteraceae
Also listed under: 1 other name
Description: Geobacter bemidjiensis TPP sequence
Rfam family: TPP riboswitch aptamer (THI element)
About the family: Vitamin B(1) in its active form thiamin pyrophosphate (TPP) is an essential coenzyme that is synthesised by coupling of pyrimidine and thiazole moieties in bacteria. The previously detected thiamin-regulatory element, thi box was extended, resulting in a new, highly conserved RNA secondary structure, the THI element, which is widely distributed in eubacteria and also occurs in some archaea.
Source: RNAcentral